RNAcentral lists this unclassified non-coding RNA (396 nucleotides) under Nostoc linckia NIES-25. RNAcentral describes it as "partial may contain 16S ribosomal RNA, 16S-23S ribosomal RNA intergenic spacer, and 23S ribosomal RNA". The stretch from base 1 to 89 matches the Rfam family "Bacterial small subunit ribosomal RNA", at positions 1445 to 1533 of the family's 1533-position model. Lineage: Bacteria; Bacillati; Cyanobacteriota; Cyanophyceae; Nostocales; Nostocaceae. The record is from RNAcentral.
GGGGGAGGAUGCCUAAGGCAGUGCUGGUGACUGGGGUGAAGUCGUAACAAGGUAGCCGUACCGGAAGGUGUGGCUGGAUCACCUCCUUUUUAGGGAGACCUACCCAACUUUAAUAUCGAGGACACACAGUUAAUAGAUAUAAAGAUGGUCAUUCCUAGGUCGGUCGAGAUUGGUAAAUAGCUUUCAAAGUAUUAGUGGUUCAGUAAAUGUUUAGUUAAAACUAAAGAUAAAAUUCAGCAAAAUGGCAUUUUGCCAGACUGCUGGGUUAAAUCUCAGCCAGAACCUUGAAAACUGCAUAGGAAUGCGAAGCAGGCAAACACAGACAUUAGGAUGUGUAUGCAAAAAGAAAUGCGAAAUAGUGGUCAAGCUAAUAAGGGCUGACGGUGGAUACCUAGG